RNAcentral lists this ribosomal RNA (450 nucleotides) under uncultured bacterium. RNAcentral's name for it is "partial 16S ribosomal RNA". It matches the Rfam family "Bacterial small subunit ribosomal RNA", at positions 338 to 795 of the family's 1533-position model. The record is from RNAcentral.
CCUACGGGGGGCAGCAGUAAGGAAUAUUGGUCAAUGGACGCAAGUCUGAACCAGCCAUGCCGCGUGGAGGAUUAAGGCCCUCUGGGUUGUAAACUCCUUUUAUCUGGGAAGAAAUGUACUUUUUCUUGAGUACUUGACGGUACCAGAGGAAUAAGCACCGGCUAACUCCGUGCCAGCAGCCGCGGUAAUACGGAGGGUGCCGGCGUUACCCGGAUUCAAGGGGUUUAAAGGGGGCAGAGGAGGGAGGGGUGAAAUCUCCGGGCUUAACCCGGAAACUGCCGUUGAUACUAUUUGUCUUGAAUAUUGUGGAGGUAAGCGGAAUAUGUCAUGUAGCGGUGAAAUGCUUAGAUAUGACAUAGAACACCAAUUGCGAAGGCAGCUUACUACACAAUCAUUGACGCUGAGGCACGAAAGCGUGGGGAUCAAACAGGAUUAGAUACCCCUGUAGUC